UCGGAGAAGCUUCCGCAAUUUAUUUUUGGACGCGGGUUCGAUUCCCGCCAGCUCCACCA
This 59-nucleotide transfer-messenger RNA is filed under the name Tissierellia bacterium. RNAcentral describes it as "partial transfer-messenger RNA". It matches the Rfam family "transfer-messenger RNA", at positions 314 to 374 of the family's 374-position model. Rfam says of the family: Bacterial tmRNA, also known as 10Sa RNA or SsrA, is named for its dual tRNA and mRNA-like properties. Its role is to liberate the mRNA from a stalled ribosome. To accomplish this part of the tmRNA is used as a reading frame that ends in a translation stop signal. The record is from RNAcentral. Lineage: Bacteria; Bacillati; Bacillota; Tissierellia.